RNAcentral lists this ribosomal RNA (460 nucleotides) under uncultured bacterium. RNAcentral describes it as "partial 16S ribosomal RNA". It matches the Rfam family "Bacterial small subunit ribosomal RNA", at positions 338 to 795 of the family's 1533-position model. The record is from RNAcentral.
CCUACGGGAGGCAGCAGUGAGGCAUAUUGGUCAAUGGACGAGAGUCUGAACCAGCCAAGUAGCGUGAAGGAUGACUGCCCUAUGGGUUGUAAACUUCUUUUAUAAGGGAAUAAAACGCAGCACGUGUGCCGUUUUGCAUGUACUUUAUGAAUAAGGAUCGGCUAACUCCGUGCCAGCAGCCGCGGUAAUACGGAGGAUCCGAGCGUUAUCCGGAUUUAUUGGGUUUAAAGGGAGCGUAGAUGGGUUGUUAAGUCAGUUGUGAAAGUUUGCGGCUCAACCGUAAAAUUGCAAUUGAUACUGGCAGUCUUGAGUACAGUUGAGGUAGGCGGAAUUCGUGGUGUAGCGGUGAAAUGCUUAGAUAUCACGAAGAACCCCGAUUGCGAAGGCAGCUUACUAGACUGUGACUGACACUGAUGCUCGAAAGUGUGGGUAUCAAACAGGAUUAGAUACCCGUGUAGUC